UACGUAGGGGGCAAGCGUUGUCCGGAUUCAUUGGGCGUAAAGAGCUCGUAGGCGGCCUGCUAAGUCGAACGUGAAAUCCCCGGGCUCAACCCGGGAACUGCGUCCGAUACUGGCAGGCUUGAAUCCGGGAGAGGGAUGUGGAAUUCCAGGUGUAGCGGUGAAAUGCGUAGAUAUCUGGAGGAACACCGGUGACGAAGGCGGCAUCCUGGACCGGUAUUGACGCUGAGACGCGAAAGCGUGGGGAGCAAACAGG
RNAcentral lists this ribosomal RNA (253 nucleotides) under uncultured bacterium. Its description in RNAcentral is "partial 16S ribosomal RNA". It matches the Rfam family "Bacterial small subunit ribosomal RNA", at positions 524 to 776 of the family's 1533-position model. The record is from RNAcentral.